RNAcentral lists this ribosomal RNA (375 nucleotides) under uncultured bacterium. RNAcentral's name for it is "bacterial SSU rRNA". It matches the Rfam family "Bacterial small subunit ribosomal RNA", at positions 523 to 898 of the family's 1533-position model. The record is from RNAcentral.
AUACGUAGGGAGCGAGCGUUGUCCGGAAUUACUGGGCGUAAAGGGUGCGUAGGCGGCGAAGCAAGUCAGAUGUGAAAUCCCCGGGCUUAACUCGGGGGGUGCAUUUGAAACUGCAUUGCUUGAGUGCAGGAGAGGAAAGCGGAAUUCCUAGUGUAGCGGUGAAAUGCGUAGAUAUUAGGAAGAACACCAGUGGCGAAGGCGGCUUUCUGGACUGUAACUGACGCUGAGGCACGAAAGCGUGGGGAGCAAACAGGAUUAGAUACCCUGGUAGUCCACGCUGUAAACGAUGGAUACUAGGUGUGGGGGACAUACAACCUCUGUGCCGGAGCAAACGCAAUAAGUAUCCCGCCUGGGGAGUACGGCCGCAAGGCUGAA